RNAcentral lists this ribosomal RNA (277 nucleotides) under uncultured Microgenomates group bacterium. RNAcentral's name for it is "partial 16S ribosomal RNA". It matches the Rfam family "Bacterial small subunit ribosomal RNA", at positions 385 to 675 of the family's 1533-position model. RNAcentral also lists the same sequence under 1 other name. The record is from RNAcentral.
GAUGGAGCGACGCCGCGUGCGGGAUGACGAUCUUCGGAUUGUAAACCGCUUUUAUAGAGGAUCGAUUUAUGAGCGUACUCUGACGAAUAAGAGGUUGCUAACUCUGUGCCAGCAGCCGCGGUAAUACAGAGACCUCAAGCGUUAUCCGGAUUUAUUGGGCGUAAAGGGUCCGUAGGGGGUUUGGUAAGCUAAAUGUAAAAUCUAUCAGCUCAACUGAUAUAUGCGCAUUUAGAACUGCCUAACUAGAGCACAUCAGAGGUCAUUGGAACUCGACGGU